GACGUCGCUGUCGCCGCGGAGCCGUA
RNAcentral lists this small RNA (26 nucleotides) under Bombyx mori (domestic silkworm). RNAcentral's name for it is "ovarian small RNA-15587". Lineage: Eukaryota; Metazoa; Arthropoda; Insecta; Lepidoptera; Bombycidae. The record is from RNAcentral.